GGCAGGGGAGGGCGUGGUGGCCAUCCGCCGGCCGGGCUGUCGCCGUGGGGGCCAUCCCGAGCCACCACGCGCGGAUAAGAACCUCCCCGAGCCCCCUGGGCAACCCUAGAUCGAGCACUCCCCCUCGUUCGCCCUAUCCCACUCUGCUUCUCUUGCCCGCAUGUUCGUCAACGCGAUCCCGUCGUUGACACGGCCACCGGCCACCGUUCGCCGCACCGACUAGUCCAGGAGGACUACCAACGUCUUCUUCGUCCAUCCAGAGCAUCAAAUCGAGCGGAUCCGUCCCGUGCGCUCGCCAUCGAGCUCCUAUUCGCCGCGUACAUCGCCGGCCGCCGUCGUCGAUUGCCUCGUCUCCGGUACACCUCCGGCCGUCCCGUCGCUUCCGUUGGAACCGUUACCCCGAGACCGCUGCCGAUGCCCAUGUGAUCGUCUACGCCACCGACGACUCUUCUUCCCUUUCAACAGAGCUUCCAGGCAAGCCCCCCCUUUGAUCAUCCCGAUAUCGCCCAUUUCAUUCUCUCAUGCUUGCAUUAGAUUUUGCUACUGUAAUUGAUUGCUCCUAUUUUGAUGCAUAGCCUGCUUUUGUACCUGUUGUUGUACCUUACAUGCUUAUCCUAAACUGCUUAGUAUAGGUUGGUUAGUGAUCCAUCAGUGACCCCCACCUUGUUCUUGUUGCCCCUGCUCCAUCAUCGACGACUUGAUCAACGUGAUCGACGACCAGACCCGACACCUCACAUCACAUCACACCCCUUUUGUUGCUUGGCUCUAUAGAGUUACUAUCGAGUGCCGAGGGUGAUACCUCGUAACGCACUCCUGAUGAUGACUCUGUAGUGUAGCUAUUCAGUCGUGGUCAUCGAGGGUGAUUCUCCUCCUUUACCACUCCCGAUACGACUCUGUCAUGCAACCCCUCAAGUGUGAACCUCGAGGGUGGUUCCUCUUACGUUCACCUUGAUGAUUACAGAAUCCACCGAGGGUGAUUCCUCGGGUUUUCCUCCUUGAUGUUUCGGACACAUGGUUACCCGUACUUUACUUGAGACCUUGUUGAAGUCGGGUCGGCCCUGAGAGGUACCCGCGAGUUGAUGUGAAAGUCAGGCGGGCCCGUAGAGCACCCGCGAGUUUUCUACGAGGCGCGACCAGGCAUUCUGGGCCCUUGCCGUAAGUCCACGAGACGGGGCGACGGGGUCACAUUAUCGUGAGUCUCUGCUAAUCUCCACGAGCCCCCAAUGCACUAACAGGUUUGGGUAUUUGUUUUGAGUUGGCCUCUGGUCUUUACGCACUAGCCAACACACAAGAAUAGUUAUGGGCCUCGACGUCGUGGUAUCAACCGAAGCUUUGUGAGGCAUCCAGUUCAGUAAUGUGGGCCCGUCGGGCCAGUGCCAUCCAGUAUGAGGUGGUGCUCAUCCCGGCUCAUCGCAUAAUGACCCAGAGUACAACGGACGAUGGGCCCAAGACCCUGGAAUGCUUAGGAUGUAGACCGGCGGGGACCUCUCUACUGAGCCUAGGUAGGGUUGUGACGUGUUGAUCUUUCGAGGCCGGGCAUUGACUCAGAAAAGUGUGUCCGGCUAGAGUAAUCAAACGUGUUGGGAAACAUGGUGCACCCCUGUAAGGAAGAUUAUCUAUUAAUAGUCCUGUCCACGGUAACGGACAUUCAGACUUAUAUCCUGAUCUAAUACAACUAGAAAUGGAUACUUGAGAUAUGUGAUGGAUAUGUGGCUCCGGGAUUGCUUUCUCGCAGGAAGUCGAGGAAGGAUCUCUGGUCGUUAAUGUUACAACAUGUUUGUUAAAUAUAAAUUGCUAUUCUUUACUCUUCUACAUGCUGCAAGAUGCUUGGAGCUGCUUUAAGAUGCUACUCUUUGAUAGGCUAGGCCUUCCCCUCUAUUCUGGCAUUUUGCAGUUUAGUCCAUAGAUACACCCCUUUCAUUUGAUACAAUGCAUACUUGGUAUAGAUUUGAUGUUUGCGAGUACUUUGGAUGAGUACUCAGGUUGCUUUGCUACCCUUUUCCCCCUUCUUUCUUCUUUCCGGAUGUUGCAACUAGAUGGUGGAUCGCUGGAGCCAGAUGCCACCGCCGACGGAUGCUGCUAUGUGGGGACCGCCAAUGACCAGGAGUAGUUAGGAGGUCCUAGGCAGGAGACCUUGCCUCUUUGAUCGUUGAUGUUCGUGCUAGCCUUAUUAAGGCAAAACUUGUUUAACUUAUGUAUGUACUCAGAUAUUGUUGCUUCCGUUGACUCUUGUGUAUCGAGCUUUUGUAUUCGAGCC
Long non-coding RNA from Triticum aestivum (bread wheat), 2257 nucleotides. RefSeq lists it as uncharacterized. The transcript has 2 exons. Lineage: Eukaryota; Viridiplantae; Streptophyta; Magnoliopsida; Poales; Poaceae. The record is from RefSeq and is a predicted model, not a curated record.